This 70-nucleotide transfer RNA is filed under the name Hystrix indica. RNAcentral's name for it is "tRNA-Phe". It matches the Rfam family "tRNA". From Rfam's summary of the family: Transfer RNA (tRNA) molecules are approximately 80 nucleotides in length. Their secondary structure includes four short double-helical elements and three loops (D, anti-codon, and T loops). The record is from RNAcentral. Lineage: Eukaryota; Metazoa; Chordata; Mammalia; Rodentia; Hystricidae.
GUCCAUGUAGCUUAAAACAAAGCAAAGCACUGAAAAUGCUUAGAUGAGUUAGCUUAGAACUCCACAGACA